UCAAGUUUACGCCGUAAAUUUACGCCACAAGUGCGCAACAUUGAUACAUGAGGCCCAAUAUCACUACUUUAUUGACCUGAAAAUGAAAUCAAAUGUGACAUAUUUGUCAUUAAGUAACCACAAAGUGGAUUACUUAAGUGCUCUUAUAAUUGUAAGUGUACUGUUUAUCUUUUAAUUUGUUAUUUUGAUGUCACAGGUGUUCCCUUUCCGUUUCUCCACCAGACAAUGUCUUGUCCAUAUUGUGGAAUCCAGCUGGUGGGACGGACAUAUUGGAAGUUUUUUGUGGCUCAGGUUUUGGCACCUUUGAUAGAGAAUGGACUCAGUUUCAGUGACCUGAGAGAGAGAUGUCUUUUCACUGGCAGUCAUGAGCAUAAAUGCCUUUUGCAGUAUGUCUUCAUGAAUGUCCUGCAAAGAGUGUUUGACACCUCUGCAACAAUCGCACCGUCAGACCUGUGCACCAGUCUUGUUGUCCAUCUGGUAAACUAGAAGCCGUGUAUCACCUUCCUCAGACUGUAGACUGACCUAAAGGUGCGGUGGAGCAGAUUGUGGAUUCCAAGUGUCUCAGGAAGUCCUGCACCAGUUUGAUGACAUUCUGCCAGCUCUAUGUGGUGAUGACAAUCUCCGGGUCCAUUUAAUGAACUUGGAAAGAGAGUGAAAUCCCUCGACUAGUUAUCUGAUCCACUGCAGUCAAAAAUCAUAUAGCACUCAAAAAUAUGGCUGGACUUUAGAAGAUAACAACUAGUGAUUCUAACAGAUUAUCUGCUAGAUGUUAAUACUAUUAGUUCUGACACAAAUUCUCAAAAAAACAACUUUGAACAACCUUUGGGUACAAAUUUUGUUACAGAAAUAUUAUGUUUUGUUUUUAAUUGUUUAACUACUGUAAACAUUCACUGGGGAAGUUUUCUACCUGAAGAAAUAAGAAGGCAAUGUGUUGUACUAUAUAAAGAACUUUUUCCUUUUAAUGACAUAACAUCAAACAGUUUGAUCCAGAUGGAGGUACAGAUUUGUUUUACCGAGACAGGAUUACAAAAACAUUCUUUAAGAUCAGUAUUUUUGUGAACAGGCUUCAAAUAGUAAGCAUUUCUUUGCAAAUGUACUCCUCAAAAAUAAAAGUGCACUUUAAUGAAAAUAAAACUUUUUCUCUGUGCUGAUUUUUUUCCAGUAUAAUUCUACGGCUGCAUCUCAGUACAUUAGAGUAUUGAGGUAUUUUCCCCCCUGCAUUUUAAAAAGCUCAUUUUCAAGAUAUUUGAAGAAAUAAAUAUUUCAAGUCUUUUUAAAGUUUGCCAAUUACGGUUAGUGUUUUUGAAAUUACAAAUCCUGAUAUUAUAAUUUACUGAGAUGCACCUACUUUCAUGUGCUGUUUAGAGACUUUCUUGAAAUGUUUAAUCACAAAAUGCAGGAUAAAAUUUAACAUGGAAGGGUUUAUAAAGUAAACAAUGUAAAAAUGUAAACUUUUGAAUAAAAUUAGAAACACUGAGGUUGCAACUGUCUUAUGAGCAAAACGAUUUGGAAUUUGGGGAAGUCCAAACCCAGGAGAGAUCGGGAUGCCAUAAUCCAUGGCUUCUUGAAAUUCCUCAUAACUGUAAUACUGGAAUUCUGCAUGAACAUCUGCUACAGGGAAGUGUGAAGUGACCUCAAAAAUAAGCUGUGGCUUUGGCUGAAUUCCCGCUGGAGGAAUUUUCCUCAGUCCAGUAGCAAACAUAAGAAUGUCUUUCAAAGAUAGAUUUCCAUUUUUCUCUGGGGAGGUACAUCCCCAAUUCCAAUGAAGCUGGGAUGUUGUGUAAAUGUAAAUAAAAACAGAAUACAUCCAUCCAUCCAUCCAUCCAUUUUCUUCCGCUUCAUCCGAGGUGGGG
Molecule: long non-coding RNA, 1853 nt
Organism: Thalassophryne amazonica
Lineage: Eukaryota; Metazoa; Chordata; Actinopteri; Batrachoidiformes; Batrachoididae
Exons: 3
Source: RefSeq, a predicted model, not a curated record